CUCGAACGAGUCUCAUCCUUGGUACCAAAAUGAUUAGAGGCCUUGGGGCCGAAACGACCUCAACCUAUUCUCAAACUUUAAAUGGGUGAGAUCUCCGGCUUGCUUAAAACAUUUUUGAAGCCGCGAGAUUUAUUUCUUGGAUCGGAGUGGCAAGUGGGCCACUUUUGGUAA
RNAcentral lists this ribosomal RNA (171 nucleotides) under Parapholidoptera cf. noxia 422. Its description in RNAcentral is "partial 28S ribosomal RNA". It matches the Rfam family "Eukaryotic large subunit ribosomal RNA", at positions 990 to 1143 of the family's 3401-position model. Lineage: Eukaryota; Metazoa; Arthropoda; Insecta; Orthoptera; Tettigoniidae. The record is from RNAcentral.